UACACAUACAGUACAUACAUUGGCUUUUUAAGUCAGUAAGCAAUAUUUAUUUACUUAUUUAGUUUAUACUAUUGGAGAUCACAAGAACAUUGGUUUAUGCAUUUGUAUCAGCCCCUCGAAGUCUACAGCAUCUGGUGACACCUGCCAGAGACAUCACUGCACUGUGAUUGGGUGUUAAAAACCCUAGCUUCAGUUGUUUGUAUGUAGGCUGUAGUGGUAGCUCUGCAAAGCUCACGAGGAAUUCAUCAUUCUAAACAAUGGCUUUCUUUUUGCUACUAGUUUUAAUUGCAUUCAUUGGUGCGAGUAUACAAGACAGCAUUACCCCAACAUCUCCUGUAGUCAUUGCAAAGGUCAAUGAAAAAGUGACGAUCUCUUGUACAUACAAGUACACUGUGUCUAUGAAUAAUCUGCAGUGGUAUCGACAUUACCUCGAUUCUAGCCCGGAAUUUCUUGUUCUAAUCAUGGAGUCAGGACAAAAUCAGACGGCUAAACCUCCUCAUCCUCGGCUGAAAGCUUCAGUUAAUAAAGAUGACAAGACGGUGAAUCUGGAAAUCUUUCCUGCAGAUGUGAAGGACUCAGCAGCGUAUUACUGCGCACUGCAGCCCACAGUGGCAGGAAACACAUGAACACCAUACAAAAACCCACUCAGAGCUAAACGGAGAACAGAAUGGUUUAGAGCAACCUGUCAGACCAGAGAGUGUGCACAGAUGCCACAAGGGGGCAGCACGUUUUAUGAUGCUUAACAUCAGGAGCAUGUGUACAAAGUUGACAUGUGACAAGUAAAAGGAUGUGACUUUAAAAGAUUGUGAACAGUAUACACAGCCGAUCAGUAAAUUCAGGAUGAAGAGAUCAGUAGUACUAAUUAUAUUACUAAUAGCUGCAUCAGUUUCUCUUGGUGAUCGAAUGGAACCAAAUCAAGUUGUUAUUAUUCAAGAUGAAGCCAGUCGUGUGACACUGAGCUGUUCAUAUGAAACAAGCAGUGAAGACAUCGAUCUUUACUGGUACAGACAGUAUCCUAACAGUGAGCCACAGUAUAUACUGUGGAAAGGUGCACGAUCAAGAGAUGACAGGAGUCAUAUACCAGAUGCUCGUUUUGAAUCUUCAACAUCCAGAACAUCCACUGAACUGAUUAUUAAAUCAGCCACUCUGAAAGAUUCAGCUCUCUAUUACUGCGCUCUGUGGAAAUACACAGUGAUACAAAGUUUCUGA
This 1209-nucleotide long non-coding RNA is filed under the name Carassius auratus (goldfish). RNAcentral describes it as "lncRNA (ENSCARG00000017194.1)". The record is from RNAcentral. Lineage: Eukaryota; Metazoa; Chordata; Actinopteri; Cypriniformes; Cyprinidae.